AGCAGCCGCGGUAAUUCCAGCUCCAAUAGCGUAUAUUAAAGUUGUUGCAGUUAAAAAGCUCGUAGUUGAAUUUCGGGGUUAGUAGGCUGGUCGUGCCACCGGUACGUACUGGUCUUACUGAUUCCUCCUUCCUGAUGAACUGUAAUGCCAUUAAUUUGGUGUUGCAGGGAAUCUGGACUGUUACUUUGAAAAAAUUAGAGUGUUUAAAGCAGGCUAACGCUUGAAUACAUUAGCAUGGAAUAAUGAAAUAGGACGCUCGAUCCUAUUUUGUUGGUUUCUAGGAUUGACGUAAUGAUUAAUAGGGAUAGUUGGGGGCAUUAGUAUUCAAUUGUCAGAGGUGAAAUUCUUGGAUUUAUUGAAGACUAACUACUGCGAAAGCAUUUGCCAAGGAUGUUUUCAUUAAUCAAGAACGAAAGUUAGGGGAUCGAAGACGAUCAGAUACCGUCGUAGUCUUAACCAUAUACUAUGCCGACUAGGGAUCGGAUGAUGUUAAUUUUUUAAUGACUCAUUCGGCGCCUUACG
RNAcentral lists this ribosomal RNA (522 nucleotides) under uncultured Glomus. RNAcentral's name for it is "SSU rRNA". It matches the Rfam family "Eukaryotic small subunit ribosomal RNA", at positions 569 to 1092 of the family's 1831-position model. Lineage: Eukaryota; Fungi; Glomeromycota; Glomeromycetes; Glomerales; Glomeraceae. The record is from RNAcentral.